CUAAAUAUCUGAGAAACUCUUCAGAAAUUUUCACAAUGGACAAUCCAUCAUUGUAUGUGUAUCAUUGACUGGACGAAUGCAUGUUCAUUAAACAAAAAGAAUGCGUGAUUGAUACGUAUGUGAACGCAUGGUUGAUCGAUAAUGCAAGAAUGUGUUCCGAGAAUGACUUUUCCGCACUUUUUCUGCAUCAUAUUUUUCUGCAAUGGUUUUUUUUAACGAAUGAAAACGACCAAAAGUACGAUCGUGAUUCUUCCCCAACCAAAGAAUUCGAGCGGAAAAAUGGCUGCGUAACAAAAUAAAACGACGAAUGACUCGACCACUCGCCAGACGAAUUAACGUUUAACAGCCGGUCGCAUAAUCGGGUCGCCAGACACCAAACAAGAAGUCGUGUAUCCAACCUUCAUCGAUAAUCGUUCGUCUGCACAAGAUUUGAUCAAAAUACGAAUCCUUGCCGAAGAAUCUCGAUCGCAAACUGUUGAACGGAAAAAUGCCAAGAGGAGGCGCACUUAAACAGGAAGCACAUGUAACUGAAGAGAACAAUAAAAAAAAGGUUGGCAGGCAUGCGAAACAAACGAUGAGAAAGAACAUGAACAAGCGAAAUAAACUUUCCCAAUGCAUAUCUGGCAAUUGGAAUUUUCUUUUGACAAAAAGCCGUUAUAAAAACCAAUAUGCAGUUGAUAAUUUGCAAUCACCAAUUAUAACUACAUCAAAUUUUCUAUUAAUUUUAUUACUAAUUAAAAAUUAAUUCUAUAAUACAAUAAUAAUAAUAAUUUCAAUAAUAAUUUCAGUUAUUUGUUAAUAAAUUUUUCAUAAUAGAAUUUUUGAGGUUACAGAAUGAUGAAUUCUUGGGAUAUGUUCAAACUUUUGAUUGAUAAAAUUGUCGUAUUCUUCUGCAUUCUUUAAAGACUCAUGGAAUCAUGCAUCUUUGUGUUAUCGGUUAACUGGCUUCUUUUUUUCGAUGAUAUAAAUACUGUAGUUUCUUUGAGACUCAGAACUUACAAAAGAAUGGAUUACGAAAGAGUAAUGGCAUUACAUCUAUCGCAAGUACAUAAUGAACUUGAUCCUAUUACUAGUUAAAAGAAUUCUACGUGCAGGUGUCUCUCAAGUCGCGACAACGACUUUCUAUUUAAGUCUGUUUGGAAACUUCCUGGGCCUUUUGGUUAACAAAGCUAUUUGAAGAAUAAUUUUUUUUUUAAAAAAUUUACACUGACAAAAGAAAAAUUUUCUUUCUUUGAUAUGAGAUGUUAAAAAUAGUUUCAUAAGAAACCUACUACAUACUUUCAUAAACUUCAAUACUUUAGUUAUGGAACAGAAUACAUAUAAUUCUUAAUUUAUACAACUUUGACACAUUUCUUUAUUCUUUGUAUAAAUGCCGUUGCUCUAUUGUAAUCGAAGUAAACACCGUUACU
Molecule: long non-coding RNA, 1409 nt
Organism: Apis laboriosa (Himalayan honeybee)
Lineage: Eukaryota; Metazoa; Arthropoda; Insecta; Hymenoptera; Apidae
Exons: 4
Source: RefSeq, a predicted model, not a curated record